RNAcentral lists this unclassified non-coding RNA (247 nucleotides) under plant metagenome. RNAcentral describes it as "partial contains small subunit ribosomal RNA, internal transcribed spacer 1, and 5.8S ribosomal RNA". The stretch from base 1 to 54 matches the Rfam family "Eukaryotic small subunit ribosomal RNA", at positions 1778 to 1831 of the family's 1831-position model. The record is from RNAcentral.
GGAAGUAAAAGUCGUAACAAGAUCUCCGUUGGUGAACCAGCGGAGGGAUCAUUACAGGACUCGCAAGACUCCUACACCCCUGUGAACUUAACUAUAAGCACGUUGCUUCGGCGGGUGUCUCGGAGGGGGUUCUCCCUCCCCGAGACGCUAAACCCGCCGGCAGCCUACUAUACUCUGUCUCUUUGCGUUGGCAUCUCGAGUACAAUCAAACAAGUUAAAACUUUCAACAACGGAUCUCUUGGUUCUG